Xylariaceae sp. FL0255 is the source of this 128-nucleotide non-coding RNA. NCBI's taxonomy places the organism in Eukaryota, Fungi, Ascomycota, Sordariomycetes, Xylariales, Xylariaceae. The record is from the annotation of a GenBank genome assembly.
GCCCGGUUAGCUCAAUCGGUAGAGCGUGAGACUCUUAAUCUCAAGGUUGCGGGUAAGCUAAUCUUCUAUCCUCUCGUCUAUACCAUGUAUUGACCUGCGUGCAACAGGUUCGACCCCCGCAUUGGGCU